CAGCAGCCGCGGUAAUACGUAGGCAGCAAGCGUUGUUCGGAAUUACUGGGCGUAAAGAGUGUGUAGGCGGUGCUCUAAGUUUGGUGUGAAAUCUCCCGGCUCAACUGGGAGGGUGCGCCGAAAACUGGAAUGCUCGAACAUGGGAGAGGAAAGCGGAAUUCCUGGUGUAGCGGUGAAAUGCGUAGAUAUCAGGAGGAACACCUGCGGUGUAGACGGCUUUCUGGACCAUUGUUGACGCUGAGACACGAAAGCGUGGGUAGCAAACAGGAUUAGAUACCCUGGUAGUCCACGCCCUAAACGA
This 301-nucleotide ribosomal RNA is filed under the name uncultured bacterium. RNAcentral's name for it is "bacterial SSU rRNA". It matches the Rfam family "Bacterial small subunit ribosomal RNA", at positions 509 to 809 of the family's 1533-position model. The record is from RNAcentral.